CGAGUUGGUCGAGCUAUCGCUUAAUAUUUAAGAGGAAAGUCCGGACUUCAAAGAGCAAGGUGCCAGCUAACAGCUGGGAAGCGUGAGCUUACGGAAAGUGCAACAGAAAAAAUACCGCCACUUUGGUAAGGGUGAAAAGGUAAGGUAAGAGCUUACCGCACAUACGAAAGUUUGUGGCAGUGAAAACCCCACCUGAAGCAAUGCCAAGUAGAGAUUAAAUUGUGUUGCUCGCACAUAAUCAGGGUAGGCAGCAAGAAUGAUGUGGCGACACAUCAUCUAGAUAAAUGAUAGCUGAAAACAGAAUCCGGCUUAUAGACCAACUCAAUUC
RNAcentral lists this RNase P RNA (328 nucleotides) under SAR86 cluster bacterium. RNAcentral's name for it is "RNase P RNA component class A". It matches the Rfam family "Bacterial RNase P class A". From Rfam's summary of the family: Ribonuclease P (RNase P) is a ubiquitous endoribonuclease, found in archaea, bacteria and eukarya as well as chloroplasts and mitochondria. Its best characterised activity is the generation of mature 5'-ends of tRNAs by cleaving the 5'-leader elements of precursor-tRNAs. Cellular RNase Ps are ribonucleoproteins. Lineage: Bacteria; Pseudomonadati; Pseudomonadota; Gammaproteobacteria. The record is from RNAcentral.